RNAcentral lists this ribosomal RNA (424 nucleotides) under Verrucomicrobiota bacterium. RNAcentral describes it as "Verrucomicrobia bacterium partial 16S ribosomal RNA". It matches the Rfam family "Bacterial small subunit ribosomal RNA", at positions 355 to 776 of the family's 1533-position model. Lineage: Bacteria; Pseudomonadati; Verrucomicrobiota. The record is from RNAcentral.
UGAGGAAUAUUGGUCAAUGGGCGAGAGCCUGAACCAGCCAAGUAGCGUGCAGGAUGACGGCCCUAUGGGUUGUAAACUGCUUUUAUAUGGGAAUAAAGUGAGGGACGUGUCCCUUAUUGCAUGUACCAUACGAAUAAGGACCGGCUAAUUCCGUGCCAGCAGCCGCGGUAAUACGGAAGGUCCAGGCGUUAUCCGGAUUUAUUGGGUUUAAAGGGAGCGUAGGCUGUUUGUUAAGCGUGUUGUGAAAUGUGAGAGCUCAACUUUUAGAUUGCAGCGCGAACUGGCAGACUUGAGUGCGCACAACGUAGGCGGAAUUCAUGGUGUAGCGGUGAAAUGCUUAGAUAUCAUGACGAACUCCGAUUGCGAAGGCAGCUUACGGGAGCGCAACUGACGCUAAAGCUCGAAGGUGCGGGUAUCGAACAGG